UUUCCAGACUCCUACGGGAGGCAGCAGUGGGGGAUAUUGCACAAUGGGGGAAACCCUGAUGCAGCGACGCCGCGUGUGGGAAGACGGUCCUCUGGAUUGUAAACCACUGUCCCCAGGGACGAAGAUGACGGUACCUGGGGAGGAAGCUCCGGCUAACUACGUGCCAGCAGCCGCGGUAAUACGUAGGGGGCAAGCGUUAUCCGGAUUUACUGGGUGUAAAGGGAGCGUAGGCGGCGAUGCAAGUCAGAAGUGAAAGCCCGGGGCUCAACUCCGGGACUGCUUUUGAAACUGUGUUGCUAGAUUGCAGGAGAGGUAAGUGGAAUUCCUAGUGUAGCGGUGAAAUGCGUAGAUAUUAGGAGGAACACCAGUGGCGAAGGCGGCUUACUGGACUGUAAAUGACGCUGAGGCUCGAAAGCGUGGGGAGCAAACAGGAUUAGAUACCCUUGUAC
This 449-nucleotide ribosomal RNA is filed under the name uncultured bacterium. RNAcentral's name for it is "bacterial SSU rRNA". It matches the Rfam family "Bacterial small subunit ribosomal RNA", at positions 328 to 793 of the family's 1533-position model. The record is from RNAcentral.